AAUGAACGCUGGCGGCGCGCCUAAUACAUGCAAGUCGAGCGAGAAGACGUAGCAAUACGUUUGUAAAGCGGCGAACGGGUGAGGAAUACAUGGGUAACCUACCCUAGAGUGGGGAAUAACUAGCCGAAAGGUUAGCUAAUACCGCGUACGCUCCUUGGACUUCGGUUCAGGGAGGAAAGCGAUGCCGAGGGUAUCGCGCUCUUGGAUGGGCUCAUGUCCUAUCAGCUUGUUGGGAGGUAACGGCUCACCAAGGCUUCGACGGGUAGCUGGUCUGAGAGGGACGAUCAGCCACACUGGCACUGCGACACGGGCCAGACUCCUACGGGAGGCAGCAGUAAGGAUAUUGCGCAAUGGGCGAAAGCCUGACGCAGCGACG
RNAcentral lists this ribosomal RNA (376 nucleotides) under uncultured bacterium. Its description in RNAcentral is "bacterial SSU rRNA". It matches the Rfam family "Bacterial small subunit ribosomal RNA", at positions 29 to 396 of the family's 1533-position model. The record is from RNAcentral.